RNAcentral lists this long non-coding RNA (500 nucleotides) under Brassica napus (rape). RNAcentral's name for it is "long non-coding RNA (BNAP_LNC015187)". The record is from RNAcentral. Lineage: Eukaryota; Viridiplantae; Streptophyta; Magnoliopsida; Brassicales; Brassicaceae.
AAUUAAGAUAAUCCUUUUUUUAUAAACUUAAUUAAUUUAACCAUCUCAAACCGAACACUAAAAAUUGCACUAUUUUAGUGUGACACUAUAAUUUUACUAUAAUUUGCUAUAAAGCCAUUAGGUUCUUAAGGACUGCAAAAAGGUUUUUUAAAAGCCCAUGAGAAACUAAAAUUAAUUUCAAAGCUAAACAGGAAAGUGUAGCUGUGGAAAUAAUACAUAGGCUAGAGUACAAAACAACAUCUAGUGUCCUUACAAACCGUUUCUCAAUCACCGAGAUGAAUCAAGAGAAUAUCAAAGCAUGACAGUUCAGACGAACACUCACUGGAAAUGGCUCCAGAUGGUUUCAAUGGGGGCGGCUGGCAACAGCCUCGGAACACCAGUGAGUUGGAGUAGGGCACUGAGAGAACAGAUCCCUUACUAACAUGGUGAAAGACAAAGAGCCAUAUACUACCCAGAGCCCAACACCUACUAAAUACUACCCAAAAACAAUUAUUCUAUUC